UACGGGGGGGGCAAGCGUUGUUCGGAAUUACUGGGCGUAAAGGGCUCGUAGGUGGCCAACUAAGUCAGACGUGAAAUCCCUCAGCUUAACUGGGGAACUGCGUCUGAUACUGGAUGGCUUGAGUUUGGGAGAGGGAUGCGGAAUUCCAGGUGUAGCGGUGAAAUGCGUAGAUAUCAGGAGGAACACCGGUGGCGAAGGCGGCUCUCUGGACGGUGACUGACGCUGAGACGCGAAAGCGUGGGGAGCAAACAGG
Molecule: ribosomal RNA, 253 nt
Filed under: uncultured bacterium
Lineage: Bacteria
Description: partial 16S ribosomal RNA
Rfam family: Bacterial small subunit ribosomal RNA
Source: RNAcentral